RNAcentral lists this long non-coding RNA (454 nucleotides) under Trifolium pratense (red clover). RNAcentral describes it as "long non-coding RNA (TPRA_LNC000572)". Lineage: Eukaryota; Viridiplantae; Streptophyta; Magnoliopsida; Fabales; Fabaceae. The record is from RNAcentral.
AUUUUCCGAAACCAGGUUCGCACAUUGUGUUUUGUUUUUUCAUUUUCACCUGCAUAUGAAUUCCGUUUUACUUGUGAAUGAUAUUUAGCAUCAGACUUCUUAUUUUCACACUUUUACCUCUUUGCUUAAGCAUUUAGCCAUUUAGGUUAAAAGACUCAAUACAGGCUAAUUUUGUGAGGGUAUAAAAUUUGGACCAAUAGUUUUGAGCUCUUUUAAAAAAUAAAAACAAUGAAAUAAAUUGAAGAAAACUAACAGAUUAGGAACACUGCAAAAUAGAAUUUUUGUGACUUACCUCAUUAAUCAAAGAAAUUACAGUCGUUAGGAACCAAAUAAAGCUCCUCGUUGAAUUAGGAAUCAAAGGUAGUAAGUACUGAUCAAGAAGUGGUUAUUAGAGGGGGGAGGAGUUGAUAUUAUAGAGGGAGAGAUGAGUUGAAAAGAGCUUACUACACAGAAA